AGUCGAACGAAUCUUCUUCGGAAGAUGAGUGGCGAACGGGUGAGUAAUACAUAGGUAACCUGCCCCUGUGCGGGGGAUAACAGGAGGAAACUCCUGCUAAUACCGCAUAGCCAUGAGCACCGCAUGGAGCUCAUGCCAAAUAUCCUUCAGGGGAUAGCGCAGGGAUGGACCUAUGGCGCAUUAGCUAGUUGGCGGGGCAACGGCCCACCAAGGCAACGAUGCGUAGCCGGCCUGAGAGGGCGGACGGCCACAUUGGGACUGAGACACGGCCCAGACUCCUACGGGAGGCAGCAGUAGGGAAUUUUCGGCAAUGGGGGGAAACCCUGACCGAGCAACGCCGCGUGAGCGAAAAAGGCCUUCGGGUCGUAAAGCUCUGUUGUAAAGGAAGAACGGCGCAUACAGGAAAUGGUAUGCGAGUGACGGUACUUUACCAGAAAGCCACGGCUAACUACGUGCCAGCAGCCGCGGUAAUACGUAGGUGGCGAGCGUUAUCCGGAAUCAUUGGGCGUAAAGAGGGAGCAGGCGGCCGCAAGGGUCUGUGGUGAAAGACCGAAGCUAAACUUCGGUAAGCCAUGGAAACCGGGCGGCUAGAGUGCGGAAGAGGAUCGUGGAAUUCCAUGUGUAGCGGUGAAAUGCGU
This 638-nucleotide ribosomal RNA is filed under the name uncultured bacterium. RNAcentral's name for it is "bacterial SSU rRNA". It matches the Rfam family "Bacterial small subunit ribosomal RNA", at positions 60 to 691 of the family's 1533-position model. The record is from RNAcentral.